AUCGACAUAACCCUCCUUGAGGCGGGAUUCCAGGGGGUCGAGAAGGCCGAAGGACCGAGGGGCGCCAGGCACAGGGCACUUCCCGUUGGCGACACGGUGACACGGGGCUGGCGCGCCUGGGACUUCGCGGCGGAGGGGAGCGAGUGCGGGCCUGCGGCCCGGGACGAGAGAAUCGUCGGAGGGGACGGGGCAGGUGGCCUGAGCGGACGCGGGAGCCGGGAGCGUGGAGGGCGCGCGGGGGGCGCGAGCCGCGGCACGGGCGCCCCGGCUCCGCGCGCGGCGGGGCGGCAGGGCGGGCGGGCGGCGGGGCGGGGCGCGGGCCGCGCGGGGCUGGAAGCCGCCGGCGAGGGCGCCCGCGGGCGGAGCCGGAGCCCCAGCGACGCCGAGACCGCGGGUGCCGGCGCUCGAGCAGCAGGUCAGUGGGGGCCGCGGGUCUGGGGUCGCAGGCGGGCGGCCAGGGUCGUGGGGCCGGGAGCGCGGGCGGCGCGGACCCCCUCCUUCAGGCGCGCAGCCGCUGUGUCUCUUCCCGCCGCUCCGACAGCCGGUUCGAGGGCUGUGGUCCGCGCCCCGCCGGCGGCGGGCGCGGGGGCAGCUCGGGCGCGCCGCCGGCUCCCCAGCCCGGUCGGGGGGCGCUGCGCGGACCCCUCCGGGCCGCCCCCCGACUGGACCGGAAGGCGCGCGGGGCAGGCGGCGAGGGGAAGGGGCGAGAGCGCGCGGCCCCGCGCAGGGGCGGGGGCGGCCCCGGUGCGCCCGGGGCCCCGGGCCCUCGUCGAGCCUGCGGGGGCCGCAGAGGCCGGCCGGAGCGGAGCGGGCGGCCCCCGCGGGCCGGGACUUCCACAGGCGGAGCGCCCGAGCGUCCCGACGUCCCGGGUAGGCAGGCUGAGCGGACGGCGUCCGAGCGCCUGGGGCGCGGCGAGGGACGGAGCUGAGCGCUGGCCGAGCGCGGGCGCGUCCGGUGGGCGCUGGUGGCGGGAACGGCCUCGGGGACCCGCCCCGGGGGAGGCCGGGGUGGGGACAGUCCUGGCGGCCCGCUGGGGCCGCCCUGAGCCAAGGCGGAACUGGCGGGAACGGUGGUGGCCCUCGAGGGGCUUGGCUCCGGGUGCCCAGGGGAUGGGGGGGCCCGGGCCAGCGAGCGGAGAUGUCUGCGCUGGGGCGCGGCCACCGCGAUGUAGACUUCAGUUUCCCCGACUGUACAAUGGGAGGAAGGCGGGGGCCAAGGGCUCCGCGGGGGAGAGGAGAGAAGCUGGGAGCGGAGGGCGUGUCCCCACCCCCUUUUCUCUGUACCGCAGCUGACCCCCGGGGGACG
This 1306-nucleotide long non-coding RNA is filed under the name Bos grunniens (domestic yak). RNAcentral describes it as "lncRNA (ENSBGRG00000023406.1)". Lineage: Eukaryota; Metazoa; Chordata; Mammalia; Artiodactyla; Bovidae. The record is from RNAcentral.